This 1277-nucleotide long non-coding RNA is filed under the name Nicotiana benthamiana. RNAcentral's name for it is "long non-coding RNA (NBEN_LNC007106)". The record is from RNAcentral. Lineage: Eukaryota; Viridiplantae; Streptophyta; Magnoliopsida; Solanales; Solanaceae.
GUUCUUUGGAAGGAUGAUGUAAGGCUAAGCAACUGAUGUCAGUACGGUUGAUGUCCACCAAUUGAGGUCCCUCGUAAGCAAAACGAGAUUGUCAGUAUCGCAUGGAAAAAUCAAUUUAAAGAGCAAAUACGAAAACGGAAAUGAAAACUGAGAAAGAAAGAUUGAUUGCAUUAACGAAAGCUAUUACAAAAGGCUACGUGGUGUCGAGGGGGAAAGGUACUGGUACAGAGAAAUGUUUGCUUGAUAGAAAGUUUGAUUGCUUGAUCCCCCCUAAUAAUGCUUACAAAAAUAAAUUAAAGCUACAAGACUAGACUUGACUAAGCUAAAGAAACAUAAUGGAUGUACUUGAAAUAAAACUACUCUAUAUUUACAAUGGAAAGGACUUAGUUAUUUACAAGGCAGAAAGCAGGUCCAUUCGCAGCAGCUUUGUCUUUUGCAUCAGGGUCUGUGCGAGCGAUGCUAUUGGCACGCGCGACACUAUUUGGAGUCCGCCGGCGGCUGGCCGCUGGCAAAGGCAUCAGGAUCUGCGCGCGGCGGUGCUAUUAACAUCAUCAUGAACUGUGCGCCUGACAUUGUCUAUGCUCGCGGCGCUAUUGGCAUCUGUCAGCCGCUGGGUGCUGGCGUAUGCACUUGGUGGGGUGACAGAGGCACAUGCGUGCUUGUCACUUGGCGCUGCUGAGACCUUGGUCCAACCAUGGACCUUGGCGUUGGGAGGCUUGCCAGGACUCCAUGGGGUGCAUCCAAGGUGUCAUGGGGCAUGGCUAGAAAUUCUCCCCCACCUGAGUUGGCGACGUCCUCGGAGCCUUACCUGCAAGAUGAUGAUUGAUCAGGCUCUUGUUGGUUGUAGGGUUUGUUCCCCUGUGUCUUGUAUAUUGGCUUUGUGAAUGAUGUUCCAUGUCUUUCCGAAGAGAUAUCAGGCGACUGACAUGGAAGACUGGAUUGAUCUUCCACCAAGCUAGGAUGGCAACCCGGUAUGUGGCUUUCUCUAUUGCGUCUUUUCACAGACAACGGCCCAAUAUGUUUUUGUAGUAAGCGAGGGUCAUAGGUCCUCUCAGCGAAAAAGUACCAGCUGGAAAGCCGCCCAUAAUAUAUAUUUUGUUUCUUUCUAGAAAGCAAAACAGAAGGAACACCAUUAGUAUUAUUUAUUAAGCCUAUUGGAAGGUGGAAUUUAAAUCAAAGUAAAUGGAGGUGAUGUGAUAUUUUUAAAAGUCAUUGCAAAACUGGCAUCCUCUAUGUCACUAUCCGAUGUUGUCUCAUCAAAGCUUUUAAUCUUGGCA